UAUAUAUGUUAGUGUUAGAACAACAACUGGUUUCAAAGGAGUAAAUAAAUUAUAAUCACGAACAAUAGACAAACAAAGUUCGGCCAAUUGUGCUUACGUCUCCUGCUACUGAGUAGUUGUAGUUAUGUUUUAUUUUGAUAGUGAAACGAUUAGGAUUUACAUUGUUACAACUAAUAUUUAAAUCCUCCGAUCCAUAUUACAACAUUACCUCCAAACGAUCUCACUUUCUCCGCUUGUUCGUCUCUGCCCACUUGUCAGUACCUAUGAGCCAUACCGAACAGUUAAUAAUGUGUGGUAGUUCUAGAAUGAGUCACACAUUGCAGAGAGACCUUAACAACUGCUAAACAAUAUGGACCACCAGGAGAACUUAACACCACAUCUCCACCAAAACUCUUAAGGCAUUAGAUAUAUAACUCACCUCUUUUAUAUAUUCAACAUUUAACUCAUUCAUAGUUGAUGUGACACUAACCACUCGCACUUGAACCAAACACCUAAUAAGUGGGAUUUAUAGGUCUAGUGCAUGUUUUCAUCUAAUGAACUGGUAUGUUGGGAUAAGCUUUCCUUUCGGGUUUAUCUGGCUUUCAAUGAGAGGCCGACAUCACAGAAAGAUACUAAUGGAGCGUUCAAUCAAACAGGUGUAGGGUUCUGACAGGGAAGUUUAGUAAGGUGUCACCCGGUGAAGUAUUGUAGAGUGCUUUUCCAUCUAUUGAGCUAGUCUUUUGAGAUGUGUUGUUAUUUUGAACCUAUGUUUUAACUAUGAAAUAUUUUAGUGGAUUUUUUACUUUCAUAAUAAAGCUCUAAAAUGCUGAGUUUUCAAUGUAAAGUCUUAAGCUAUACAUAUGGACUUUGGUACUUGUGUAAUGUGAUGUGUUGCAAAUUACCUUGAAAACGUGGAAAAACAGCAAAAGCUGCUGUUUUGGUGCCCCGAGCGAAAUUCUGGUGCCCCGGGCGAAAUUGUUCGUGAUUAUUAUUGCUAUUUCCACGUUUUGAUUGCUUAUUCGAUUUGCUCCACACAUCAAGUUUAUUGGUGUGAUAUUCAAUCCGAAUUCACAACAUGAUGUGUGAGCUUUGGUGUUGGCACCAACAUCUAGUUAACUUGGAUUAUAUUUCCUUAUUUAUUAUUAUGUUUGUUAAACUAUUUGUCUAUUGAUUUGAGUUUUGUGAUAUGCAGAAAAGAGUGCAAACUAUGCAGUGCAGAUCAGCAAUGUAGAAAUAUUACCUGAUCCUGUCGUCAGAGGAGAGCCAUUCACCUUCAAAAUCAAAGCUCAUACUGGUCUUACUU
Molecule: long non-coding RNA, 1282 nt
Filed under: Trifolium pratense (red clover)
Lineage: Eukaryota; Viridiplantae; Streptophyta; Magnoliopsida; Fabales; Fabaceae
Description: long non-coding RNA (TPRA_LNC002491)
Source: RNAcentral